UACGGGGGGGGCAAGCGUUGUUCGGAAUUACUGGGCGGAAAGGGCUCGUAGGUGGCCAACUAAGUCAGACGUGAAAUCCCUCAGCUUAACUGGGGAACUGCGUCUGAUACUGGAUGGCUUGAGUUUGGGAGAGGGAUGCGGAAUUCCAGGUGUAGCGGUGAAAUGCGUAGAUAUCUGGAGGAAUACCGGUGGCGAAGGCGGCAUCCUGGACCGACAUUGACGCUGAAAGGCGAAAGCUAGGGGAGCAAACGGG
This 253-nucleotide ribosomal RNA is filed under the name uncultured bacterium. RNAcentral describes it as "partial 16S ribosomal RNA". It matches the Rfam family "Bacterial small subunit ribosomal RNA", at positions 524 to 776 of the family's 1533-position model. The record is from RNAcentral.